AGAUAAGGAAACUUUAUGAUGACGACACACCCAAAAUCUUUUUCCGAGUCCUCAAUAAAAUUACAUAAAUAAAGACAAUAAAAUCCCCCAACAAUUUCUAUCUUGGCUCCUAAGUUUGCUUUGUAAUGAAGCAUGAAGGGUCGCAUUCAAAAUCAUACGGUUUCACCCACUUACGAGUGAAGAGGUCUGUUUGCACCAUUUGAUCUCAGCUUACGUCUCACUUGCCUUCGUUAGUGCUCUCACCUGGCACGGGCUGGCAGAGAGCUAAAAAUGGAUGUAAUAGAAAUAGAAGUGUCAAGAGAUGGAAUUUAAAGGCUUACCACUAUGGAAUGGAAC
Molecule: long non-coding RNA, 336 nt
Filed under: Ricinus communis (castor bean)
Lineage: Eukaryota; Viridiplantae; Streptophyta; Magnoliopsida; Malpighiales; Euphorbiaceae
Description: long non-coding RNA (RCOM_LNC002097)
Source: RNAcentral